GGAGUGGACGCAUCACUGGUGUUCGGGUUGUCAUGCCAAUGGCACUGCCCGGUAGCUAAAUGCGGAAGAGAUAAGUGCUGAAAGCAUCUAAGCACGAAACUUGCCCCGAGAUGAGUUCUCCCUGAGACUUUAAGUCUCCUGAAGGAACGUUAAAGACGAUGACGUUGAUAGGCCGGGUGUGUAAGCGCAGCGAUGCGUUGAGCUAACCGGUACUAAUGAACCGUGAGGCUUAACCUU
RNAcentral lists this ribosomal RNA (237 nucleotides) under Klebsiella pneumoniae. Its description in RNAcentral is "partial 23S ribosomal RNA". It matches the Rfam family "Bacterial large subunit ribosomal RNA", at positions 2694 to 2925 of the family's 2925-position model. RNAcentral also lists the same sequence under 1 other name. Lineage: Bacteria; Pseudomonadati; Pseudomonadota; Gammaproteobacteria; Enterobacterales; Enterobacteriaceae. The record is from RNAcentral.